This 475-nucleotide ribosomal RNA is filed under the name uncultured bacterium. RNAcentral describes it as "SSU rRNA". It matches the Rfam family "Bacterial small subunit ribosomal RNA", at positions 26 to 518 of the family's 1533-position model. The record is from RNAcentral.
AGGAUAAACGCUGGCGGCGUGCAUGAGACAUGCAAGUCAUACGGGCGAGCUUGCUCGCUAGUGGCGGACGGCUGAGUAACGCGUAGGUGACCUACCCGAAGUGGGGAAUAACUGCCCGAAAGGGUGGCUAAUACCGCAUGUGGUGGUUCGUUCAUUCGAACCACCAAAGCAGCAAUGCGCUUCGGGAGGGGCCUGCGUCCGAUUAGCUCGUUGGUGGGGUAACGCUCACCAAGGCGACGAUCGGUAGGUGGUCUGAGAGGACGAUCACCCAGACUGGGACUGAGACACGGCCCAGACUCCUACGGGAGGCAGCAGUGGGGAAUAUUGCGCAAUGGGCGAAAGCCUGACGCAGCGACGCCGCGUGUGGGAUGACGGCCUUCGGGUUGUAACCACUGUCGCGAGGGACGAAUGCCCCGCGAAGGGGAGUGACGGUACCUCGAAAGGAAGCACCGGCUAACUCUGUGCCAGCAGCCGC